GACGAACGCUGGCGGCGUGCUUAACACAUGCAAGUCGAACGAUGAAGCCUAGCUUGCUAGGUGGAUUAGUGGCGAACGGGUGAGUAAUACGUGAGUGACCUACCUUUUACUCUUGGAUAAGCCUGGGAAACUGGGUCUAAUACCGGAUACGACAAAUCUCCGCCUGGGGUGUUGGUGGAAAGCGUUAUGGUGUGGGUUUAGAUGGGCUCACGGCCUAUCAGCUUGUUGGUGAGGUAAUGGCUUACCAAGGCGACGACGGGUAGCCGGCCUGAGAGGGUGACCAGCCACACUGGGACUGAGACACGGCCCAGAGUCCUACGGGAGGCAGCAGUGGGGAAUAUUGCACAAUGGGCGCAAGCCUGAUGCGGCGACGCCGCGUGUGGGAUGACGGCCUUCGGGGUGUAAACCUCUGUUAGCAUCGAAGAAGCGAAAGUGACGGUAGGUGCAUAGAAAGCGCCGGCUAACUACGUG
This 471-nucleotide ribosomal RNA is filed under the name uncultured bacterium. RNAcentral's name for it is "partial 16S ribosomal RNA". It matches the Rfam family "Bacterial small subunit ribosomal RNA", at positions 28 to 507 of the family's 1533-position model. The record is from RNAcentral.